This is a non-coding RNA of Oleispira antarctica, 197 nucleotides long. NCBI's taxonomy places the organism in Bacteria, Pseudomonadati, Pseudomonadota, Gammaproteobacteria, Oceanospirillales, Oceanospirillaceae. The record is from Rfam.
UUAACUGCGAAGUUGGGUCUGGAGGGCGUAGCGCCGUGAAUACCUACAACGGCUGGGAUGGCGCUAGCAAAACUGCGAGCUGAUGAACAAAAACAUCAUAUGAGGCGUAGGCUGGAGGCGAGUUGGCACAAGACGACGAAGCCAUGUGAUCUAACGGCCACCGUAAAUGAUGCAGUUGCGCAGGGAAAGUUCAUGUC